This 496-nucleotide ribosomal RNA is filed under the name uncultured bacterium. RNAcentral's name for it is "partial 16S ribosomal RNA". It matches the Rfam family "Bacterial small subunit ribosomal RNA", at positions 28 to 507 of the family's 1533-position model. The record is from RNAcentral.
GAUGAACGCUGGCGGCGUGCCUAAUACAUGCAAGUCGAGCGAACAGACGAGGAGCUUGCUCCUCUGACGUUAGCGGCGGACGGGUGAGUAACACGUGGAUAACCUACCUAUAAGACUGGGAUAACUUCGGGAAACCGGAGCUAAUACCGGAUAAUAUAUUGAACCGCAUGUUCAAUAGUGAAAGACGGUUUUGCUGUCACUUAUAGAUGGAUCCGCGCCGCAUUAGCUAGUUGGUAAGGUAACGGCUUACCAAGGCAACGAUGCGUAGCCGACCUGAGGGGGUGAUCGGCCACACUGGAACUGAGACACGGUCCAGACUCCUACGGGAGGCAGCAGUAGGGAAUCUUCCGCAAUGGGCGAAAGCUUGACGGAGCAACGCCGCGUGAGUGAUGAAGGUCUUCGGAUCGUAAAACUCUGUUAUUAGGGAAGAACAAAUGUGUAAGUAACUAUGCACGUCUUGACGGUACCUAAUCAGAAAGCCACGGCUAACUACGUG